GGUGUGGUCUAUUUACUCCAGUCUUUUUUACAGGAAUCGAGGAAGAGAGAGAAGGAAGAUAAAGGUUCAAGGAUCUAGAAGCGAAUAUUCUCCCGUGAAAUUAUUUGCACAAACACAACCCAUACUCAUACCGAAGGCAGUAGUGGGGAAUUCUCCGCAAUGGGAGAAAGCCCGAUAGGGCAAUGUCGCGUGGAGGUAGAAGAGGCAAUGAAAGCAUCGGCUCUCUUUGUGCUAGCAGUCGCGGUAAAACAGAGGAUUUA
Molecule: ribosomal RNA, 260 nt
Filed under: Prunus dulcis (almond)
Lineage: Eukaryota; Viridiplantae; Streptophyta; Magnoliopsida; Rosales; Rosaceae
Description: rRNA SSU_rRNA_bacteria
Source: RNAcentral